RNAcentral lists this ribosomal RNA (460 nucleotides) under uncultured bacterium. Its description in RNAcentral is "partial 16S ribosomal RNA". It matches the Rfam family "Bacterial small subunit ribosomal RNA", at positions 338 to 795 of the family's 1533-position model. The record is from RNAcentral.
CCUACGGGGGGCAGCAGUGGGGAAUAUUGGUCAAUGGACGAGAGUCUGAACCAGCCAAGUAGCGUGAAGGAUGACUGCCCUAUGGGUUGUAAACUUCUUUUAUAUGGGAAUAAAAUGUUCCACGUGUGGGAUUUUGUAUGUACCAUAUGAAUAAGGAUCGGCUAACUCCGUGCCAGCAGCCGCGGUAAUACGGAGGAUCCGAGCGUUAUCCGGAUUUAUUGGGUUUAAAGGGAGCGUAGGUGGAUUGUUAAGUCAGUUGUGAAAGUUUGCGGCUCAACCGUAAAAUUGCAGUUGAAACUGGCAGUCGUGAGUACAGUAGAGGUGGGCGGAAUUCGUGGUGUAGCGGUGAAAUGCUUAGAUAUCACGAAGAACUCCGAUUGCGAAGGCAGCUCACUGGACUGCAACUGACACUGAGGCUCGAAAGUGUGGGUAUCAAACAGGAUUAGAUACCCCUGUAGUC